GACGAACGCUGGCGGCGUGCCUAAUACAUGCAAGUAGAACGCUGAAGGAGGAGCUUGCUCUUCUGGAUGAGUUGCGAACGGGUGAGUAACGCGUAGGUAACCUGCCUGGUAGCGGGGGAUAACUAUUGGAAACGAUAGCUAAUACCGCAUAACAGUAGAUGUUGCAUGACAUUUACUUAAAAGGUGCAAUUGCAUCACUACCAGAUGGACCUGCGUUGUAUUAGCUAGUUGGUGGGGUAACGGCUCACCAAGGCGACGAUACAUAGCCGACCUGGGAGGGGGAUCGGCCACACUGGGACUGAGACACGGCCCAGACCCCUACGGGAGGCAGCAGUAGGGAAUCUUCGGCAAUUGACGGAAGGCUGACCGAGCAACGCCGCGGGAGUGAAGAAGGGUCUCGGAUCGUAAAGCUCUGUUGUAAGAGAAGAACGAGUGUGAGAGUGGAAAGUUCACACUGUGACGGUAUCUUAACAGAAAGGGACGGCUAACUACGUG
RNAcentral lists this ribosomal RNA (495 nucleotides) under uncultured bacterium. RNAcentral describes it as "partial 16S ribosomal RNA". It matches the Rfam family "Bacterial small subunit ribosomal RNA", at positions 28 to 507 of the family's 1533-position model. The record is from RNAcentral.